Molecule: ribosomal RNA, 919 nt
Filed under: uncultured archaeon
Lineage: Archaea
Description: bacterial SSU rRNA
Rfam family: Archaeal small subunit ribosomal RNA
Source: RNAcentral
AUUUUCCGGUUGAUCCCGCCGGACCCCACUGCUAUCGAGGUGGGACUAAGCCAUGCCAGUCGAACGACCCGGACUAUGGCGGGGAGUGGCAGACUACUCAGUAACACGUAGCUAACCUACCCUCGGGACGGGGAUAACCCCGGGAAACUGGGGCUAAUACCCGAUAGGUAUGGAUUCCUGGAAUGGUGCCAUGCCUAAACGUAAGCACAUCCAUGUUUGUGUGCACGCCCGAGGAUGGGGCUGCGGCCGAUCAGGCAGUUGGUGAGGUAACGGCUCACCAAACCUUUGACCGGUACGGGCCAUGAGAGUGGUAGCCCGGAGACGGGCACUGAGACAAGGGCCCAGGCCCUACGGGGCGCAGCAGGCGCGAAACCUCCACAAUUCACGCAAGUGAGAUGGGGUUACCUCGAGUGCUAUCUGAAGAAGGUGGCUUUUCCAUGGUGUAAUGAGCCGUGGGAAUAAGGGGGGGGCAAGACUGGUGUCAGCCGCCGCGGUAACACCAGCCCCCCGAGUGGUGGGGAUGAUUAUUUGGCCUAAAGCGUCCGUAGCCAGCUCGGUAAAUCUCUCGUUAAAUCCAGCGUCCUAAGCGUUGGGCUGCGAGGGAAACUGCCGAACUAGAGGGUGGGAGAGGUCAGCGGUAUUCCUGGGGUAGGGGCGAAAUCCAUUGAUCCCAGGAGGACCACCAGUGGCGAAGGCUGCUGACUAGAACACGCCUGACGGUGAGGGACGAAAGCUGGGGUAGCGAAUCGGAUUAGAUACCCGAGUAGUCCCAGCCGUAAACGAUGCAGGCUAGGUGUUGGGUCGGCCAUGCGCCGCCUCAGUGCCACAGGGAAGCCAUUAAGCCUGCCGCCUGGGGAGUACGGCCGCAAGGCUGAAACUUAAAGGAAUUGGCGGGGGAGCACCACCAGGCGUGAAGCCU